GAGGAAAGUCCGGGCUCUAUUUAUAAUAAUAUAGCUGUAUAAACUACAGUAUGAUAAAUCAUAAGGAUCGUGCUACAGAAAUAUACCGCCUAAUUUUAUAGGUAAGGGUGCAAUGGUUUGGUAAAAGCAAACCAGAAAUACAAUUAAAGUAUUGGCUAAGUAAACCCCGUAUUAGAGCAAAGUUAUUAAAUAUUUUUAAUUAGCAAAUUUUUAUAAGAUUUACAUUUUUUUAAAUUGUUUCUUGCUUACUGCAUAAAGUGAUUUUUUACUUCAGAUUAAUAAUUACCCUUUUCAUGUUUUGUAUUAUGUUAACAAAAAUGUGAAUAGAACAAAACCCGGCUUAU
RNAcentral lists this RNase P RNA (344 nucleotides) under Leptosiphonia brodiei. Its description in RNAcentral is "rnpB". The stretch from base 2 to 177 matches the Rfam family "Bacterial RNase P class A", at positions 44 to 222 of the family's 367-position model. Rfam says of the family: Ribonuclease P (RNase P) is a ubiquitous endoribonuclease, found in archaea, bacteria and eukarya as well as chloroplasts and mitochondria. Its best characterised activity is the generation of mature 5'-ends of tRNAs by cleaving the 5'-leader elements of precursor-tRNAs. Lineage: Eukaryota; Rhodophyta; Florideophyceae; Ceramiales; Rhodomelaceae. The record is from RNAcentral.